AUCAUCUUCCAGGCAGUCAGACUCCUCAUUGAGGGCCUCGUCUUCCUCGGACUGAGGUGCCUCCUCUACAAACUCGUCCUCCUCCGACCGUGUGCGUAGGUCCGGCUGCGCCUCCCAAUCUCAGCUGUCGUGGGUCGAGACUCACCUGCUCAAGAUCCGCUGCAGUGAAACUUACCCUUGUGAUCCCUACUAAUGUUCUGCUGCCCUGACAAAUGACAGCACACUAAACCAUCACUUCGACCCGACAGAGCAGGACAGUUUCUCUUUUUACGGACAAAGAAAGGAGGAUUUUUGUGCAUGAAAAUCCCGAUAUGCCAAGAAUUGUUUCUGACAUACUGUAAGUGUAACAUAGUUGAAAUGGUUCAGAUUAAAUUCUGGGUUUCAUAGUUGUCCUGUGGUGAGGGCUUUUUGGCGCCCCCUACUGGUUGCCUAUAAAAGGAGGAGAAACUGCAAAUUCCACACAGUCUGUUCAGCGCUCUACUGUGGUAGGUCAUCAACUCCAGUUCUUUUCUGAACAGUAGUGGUGGUUGUGCACUGAGACUAAUGUGGAGUUUUGUUGCAGUACCCAGAACUGGUGGACCAGUAGGGAGGCUCACUGUGCUGUUUGUUAUUAACCAGUCAUUACAGGUAAUUAUGUUACGUUAAAUGUCAGAAAUUUAUGUUGUCCGUUAUGUUUGUCAGUUUUUUUUCAGUUAAGUUUGUCAGUUUAUUUAUUAUGUUGUCGGUUUGUCUGUCAGUUUGUUUGUUCCCUGUUUCAGUUAGAGGUUUGUUUAUUAGUUAAAUUUGACUGCUGUCUAUGUUUAUUUUUCAGAUUUUUAUUUAUUCAAAAGAGAAAGAUUGAAUGAAUUUCAUUUGAAAGUUGUGCUAUCAAUCACUAUACGAUCACCUGUUACAAAAAUGUGUUGUUGGGCCCGAUUGUAGUGAUUAUUUGUAGGACACAGUCUGUUCAGCACUCUGCUGUGUACCCAGAACUGGUGGACCAGUAGGGAGGCUCACUGUGCUUUUUGUUGUUGACACUCAUUACAGAAAUUCAACCAACUAGUCUCCGCUGUGUGCUGUAUGUGGGGGAAGAAGUCACAUAAACUGACUAAGAAGAAUGUGCAAGAGGCCAAUUGAAUGACUCGUUGAUCAAAAGUGGAACUUUGUUUAAUAAAAGUUAAGAUACGAAAUGCUAA
This is a long non-coding RNA of Poeciliopsis prolifica (blackstripe livebearer), 1175 nucleotides long. RefSeq lists it as uncharacterized. The record is from RefSeq and is a predicted model, not a curated record. The transcript has 2 exons. Lineage: Eukaryota; Metazoa; Chordata; Actinopteri; Cyprinodontiformes; Poeciliidae.